CGAGUGACGUAACGCGUGAGCACGCGGGUAGUUAGGAUGUCAUAGAGUAUGUGAUUCAAUAGCAUAGUCUAAUGCUACCAAUGUUUGCAGGAUCAUGUUCGGAUUGGAGACUUUAAUUGGUUCUCCAAUGUAGAGUCCAAGUGACUAGAGUCCAAGGAGUGUUCAAGUUGGAGUCCAAUGCAGCCAAGAUGAUGUUUCUUUGGCUGCAGGUACUUCGGUAUAGUCGAUGGGUCGGUAGCAGUGUGCAUGGGAUAUUAUGACUGAAGCUCACCGCGACGGUUAUAAUUGUCGGACCACGGGUUGUCCACUAUUUUAUAGGUUUGGUAUGGCUUGUGACGUUUGUGUCACUUAUUAAUUGUUAAGCCAUUAUUUUUAUAGUGUUAAUAAGACUCAAACAGAUAGAUGUUAAAUGGCUCUUUGUUGUAAUUAAUUUGUGAUAGAUGUAUAAGUUGUAAUUUCCGCUAUUCAGAUUUA
Molecule: long non-coding RNA, 474 nt
Organism: Alnus glutinosa
Lineage: Eukaryota; Viridiplantae; Streptophyta; Magnoliopsida; Fagales; Betulaceae
Exons: 2
Source: RefSeq, a predicted model, not a curated record